This 253-nucleotide ribosomal RNA is filed under the name uncultured bacterium. RNAcentral describes it as "partial 16S ribosomal RNA". It matches the Rfam family "Bacterial small subunit ribosomal RNA", at positions 524 to 776 of the family's 1533-position model. The record is from RNAcentral.
UACGUAGGGGGCGAGCGUUGUCCGGAAUCAUUGGGCGUAAAGGGCUCGCAGGCGGUCGGCCGCGUCGCGCGUGAAGGCCCCCGGCUCAACCGGGGGCGGUCGCGGGAUACGGGUCGGCUGGAGGCAGGUAGGGGGGCGCGGAAUCCCGGGUGUAGUGGUGGAAUGCGUAGAGAUCCGGGGGAACACCGGCGGCGAAGGCGGCGCCCUGGACCUGGCCUGACGCUCAGGAGCGAAAGCGUGGGGAGCGAUCCGG